Molecule: long non-coding RNA, 351 nt
Organism: Anoplophora glabripennis (Asian longhorned beetle)
Lineage: Eukaryota; Metazoa; Arthropoda; Insecta; Coleoptera; Cerambycidae
Exons: 3
Source: RefSeq, a predicted model, not a curated record
AGAAGCUUGUGUAUUCUUAUGGAGCUUGUGCGUUCAUUUAAUAAAUUUGUGUUAUAUCUUCUUUCUUAAACUUUUAGCAGUAGUGUGUGUAAAUUGUAGAACUUUUUUGAAUCUUUGUGCACUAUUUGUAGUAAUAAUAAUGUGAUGAGAUGCCGUGGCGCCGUUCUACUAUGUAUGGCUUUAAUAACAGCCGUAUUUCAACGAAAACGGAUAAUCCGGAAAUAGUUUACCAUAAUUUUCCCAAGGAAAAACAUUAGGUUUGCCUCCACGAAAACUUCUUAAAACAACUGCUGUGCCAUCAUUAUUUCUUCCAAACAAACCACAGGAUGUAACAAGUUUACGGACACAAAG